Molecule: ribosomal RNA, 187 nt
Filed under: uncultured rumen bacterium
Lineage: Bacteria
Description: partial 16S ribosomal RNA
Rfam family: Bacterial small subunit ribosomal RNA
Source: RNAcentral
UACGGGAGGCAGCAGUGAGGAAUAUUGGUCAAUGGGCGAGAGCCUGAACCAGCCAAGUAGCGUGCAGGAUGACGGCCCUAUGGGUUGUAAACUGCUUUUAUACAGGGAUAAAGUCAGUUACGUGUAACUGUUUGUAGGCACUGUAUGAAUAAGGACCGGCUAAUUCCGUGCCAGCAGCCGCGGUAAU